CCCUUAGAUGUUCUGGGCAGCACGCGCGCUACAAUGGUCUUCGCAAACGGAUGCAUUCUCGAAGGAGAAUGCCAAUCUUGGAAUCUAUGCCUUGGUCGGGACAGUUGCUUGCAAUUUUUCGACUCGAACCAGGAAUUCCUUGUAAUCGUGAUUCAUCACAUCACGAUGAAUACGUCCCUGCCCUUUGUACACACCGCCCGUCGCUCCUACCGAUCGAAGAGUUAGGUGAAUUGUUUUGAUCGAUAAGAUUUGACUAUGGUCAACUCUCGUUGUGAAAUUCUGUGAAUCUGACUGUUGAGAGGAAGGAAAAGUCGUAACA
This 319-nucleotide ribosomal RNA is filed under the name uncultured eukaryote. Its description in RNAcentral is "partial 18S ribosomal RNA". It matches the Rfam family "Eukaryotic small subunit ribosomal RNA", at positions 1470 to 1796 of the family's 1831-position model. The record is from RNAcentral.